This 583-nucleotide ribosomal RNA is filed under the name Nitrospirae bacterium CG_4_9_14_3_um_filter_51_5. RNAcentral describes it as "bacterial SSU rRNA". It matches the Rfam family "Bacterial small subunit ribosomal RNA", at positions 1 to 578 of the family's 1533-position model. Lineage: Bacteria; Pseudomonadati; Nitrospirota. The record is from RNAcentral.
UCUUUUGAGAGUUUGAUCCUGGCUCAGAACGAACGCUGGCGGCGCGCCUAACACAUGCAAGUCGAACGAGAAUCCGGGGCAACUCGGUAGUAAAGUGGCAAACGGGUGAGGAAUGCAUGGGUAACCUGCCCUUGAGAAGGGAAUAACCCGCCGAAAGGUGAGCUAAUACCCUAUACGCUACUAAUUUUUCGGAAUUAGUAGGAAAGCCAGGUCGAGGACUUGGUACUCAAGGAGGGGCUCAUGUCCUAUCAGCUUGUUGGUGGGGUAAUGGCCUACCAAGGCUACGACGGGUAGCUGGUCUGAGAGGAUGAUCAGCCACACUGGCACUGAGAUACGGGCCAGACUCCUACGGGAGGCAGCAGUGAGGAAUAUUGCGCAAUGGGCGAAAGCCUGACGCAGCGACGCCGCGUGGGGGAUGAAGGUUUUCGGAUUGUAAACCCCUUUCGUGAGGAAAGAUAAAGUGGGUAACCACUUAGACGGUACCUCAAGAAGAAGCCACGGCUAACUUCGUGCCAGCAGCCGCGGUAAUACGAAGGUGGCAAGCGUUGUUCGGAUUUACUGGGCGUAAAGAGCACGUAGGCGG